GAUGAAGACGCAGCGAAAUGCGAUAAGUAAUGUGAAUUGCAGAAUUCAGUGAAUCAUCGAAUCUUUGAACGCACAUUGCGCCCGCUAGUAUUCUGGCGGGCAUGCCUGUCCGAGCGUCAUUUCAACCCUCAAGCCCCCGGGCUUGGUGUUGGGGAUCGGCGAGCCUCCGCGCCCGCCGUCCCCUAAAUCUAGUGGCGGUCUCGCUGUAGCUUCCUCUGCGUAGUAGCACACCUCGCACUGGGAAACAGCGCGGCCACGCCGUUAAACCCCCAACUUCUGAACGUUUGACCUCGGAUCAGGUAGGAAUACCCGCUGAACUUAAGCAUAUCAAUAAGCGGAGGA
RNAcentral lists this unclassified non-coding RNA (342 nucleotides) under soil metagenome. RNAcentral describes it as "partial contains 5.8S ribosomal RNA, internal transcribed spacer 2, and large subunit ribosomal RNA". The stretch from base 1 to 119 matches the Rfam family "5.8S ribosomal RNA", at positions 35 to 154 of the family's 154-position model. The record is from RNAcentral.